UUUAUGGAGAGUUUGAUCCUGGCUCAGAGUGAACGCUGGCGGCGUGCCUAAUACAUGCAAGUCGAACGAUGAAGCUUCUAGCUUGCUAGAGUGCUGAUUAGUGGCGCACGGGUGAGUAACGCAUAGGUCAUGUGCCUCUUAGUUUGGGAUAGCCAUUGGAAACGAUGAUUAAUACCAGAUACUCCCUACGGGGGAAAGAUUUAUCGCUAAGAGAUCAGCCUAUGUCCUAUCAGCUUGUUGGUAAGGUAAUGGCUUACCAAGGCUAUGACGGGUAUCCGGCCUGAGAGGGUGAACGGACACACUGGAACUGAGACACGGUCCAGACUCCUACGGGAGGCAGCAGUAGGGAAUAUUGCUCAAUGGGGGAAACCCUGAAGCAGCAACGCCGCGUGGAGGAUGAAGGUUUUAGGAUUGUAAACUCCUUUUGUUAGAGAAGAUAAUGACGGUAUCUAACGAAUAAGCACCGGCUAACUCCGUGCCAGCAGCCGCGGUAAUACGGAGGGUGCAAGCGUUACUCGGAAUCACUGGGCGUAAAGAGCGCGUAGGCGGGAUAGUCAGUCAGGUGUGAAAUCCUAUGGCUUAACCAUAGAACUGCAUUUGAAACUACUAUUCUAGAGUGUGGGAGAGGUAGGUGGAAUUCUUGGUGUAGGGGUAAAAUCCGUAGAGAUCAAGAGGAAUACUCAUUGCGAAGGCGACCUGCUGGAACAUUACUGACGCUGAUUGCGCGAAAGCGUGGGGAGCAAACAGGAUUAGAUACCCUGGUAGUCCACGCCCUAAACGAUGGAUGCUAGUUGUUGGAGGGCUUAGUCUCUCCAGUAAUGCAGCUAACGCAUUAAGCAUCCCGCCUGGGGAGUACGGUCGCAAGAUUAAAACUCAAAGGAAUAGACGGGGACCCGCACAAGCGGUGGAGCAUGUGGUUUAAUUCGAAGAUACACGAAGAACCUUACCUAGGCUUGACAUUGAGAGAAUCCGCUAGAAAUAGUGGAGUGUCUAGCUUGCUAGACCUUGAAAACAGGUGCUGCACGGCUGUCGUCAGCUCGUGUCGUGAGAUGUUGGGUUAAGUCCCGCAACGAGCGCAACCCCCUUUCUUAGUUGCUAAUAGGUCAUGCUGAGAACUCUAAGGAUACUGCCUCCGUAAGGAGGAGGAAGGUGGGGACGACGUCAAGUCAUCAUGGCCCUUACGCCUAGGGCUACACACGUGCUACAAUGGGGUGCACAAAGAGAAGCAAUACUGUGAAGUGGAGCCAAUCUUCAAAACACCUCUCAGUUCGGAUUGUAGGCUGCAACUCGCCUGCAUGAAGCUGGAAUCGCUAGUAAUCGCAAAUCAGCCAUGUUGCGGUGAAUACGUUCCCGGGUCUUGUACUCACCGCCCGUCACACCAUGGGAGUUGUGUUUGCCUUAAGUCAGGAUGCUAAAUUGGCUACUGCCCACGGCACACACAGCGACUGGGGUGAAGUCGUAACAAGGUAACCGUAGGUGAACCUGCGGUUGGAUCACCUCCUUUCUAGA
Molecule: ribosomal RNA, 1509 nt
Filed under: Helicobacter pylori
Lineage: Bacteria; Pseudomonadati; Campylobacterota; Epsilonproteobacteria; Campylobacterales; Helicobacteraceae
Description: bacterial SSU rRNA
Rfam family: Bacterial small subunit ribosomal RNA
Source: RNAcentral